GAUGAACGCUAGCGGCAGGCUUAAUACAUGCAAGUCGUGGGGCAGCAGGACUGUAGCAAUACAGUUGCUGGCGACCGGCAAACGGGUGCGGCACACGUACGCAACUUACCCUGAACUGGGGGAUAGCCCGGGGAAACCCGGAUUAAUACCCCGUAAUAUAAUGGAGUGGCAUCACUUUAUUAUUAAAGCUCCGGCGGUUCGGGAUGGGCGUGCGGCUGAUUAGGUAGUUGGUUGAGGUAACGGCUCACCAAGCCUACGAUCAGUAACUGGUGUGAGAGCACGACCAGUCACACGGGGACUGAGACCCGGGUCCGACGCCUACGGGAGGCAGCAGUAAGGAAUAUGAGGCAAUGGAGGCAACUCUGACCCAGCCAUGCCGCGUGGAGGAUGAAGGGCCUCUGGGUUGUAAUCUUCUUUUAUAGGGGACGAAACCUGUGUAUGCUCACGCAGUUGACGGUACCCUAGGAAUAAGCACCGGCUAACUCCUU
Molecule: ribosomal RNA, 488 nt
Filed under: uncultured bacterium
Lineage: Bacteria
Description: partial 16S ribosomal RNA
Rfam family: Bacterial small subunit ribosomal RNA
Source: RNAcentral